This 359-nucleotide long non-coding RNA is filed under the name Cicer arietinum (chickpea). RNAcentral's name for it is "long non-coding RNA (CARI_LNC000969)". Lineage: Eukaryota; Viridiplantae; Streptophyta; Magnoliopsida; Fabales; Fabaceae. The record is from RNAcentral.
GACAAGAACCUGGAAAACAUAGGAGACCAACAAUUAAAUAAAUAGUAAGCUUGAGAAAACAAUUCACAUUGGCGGUAAAAAAUGUAAACUGAUUAUCUUUGCCUAGAUAGUCUAAUGCACUCUGUGCUAAUUUGCAGGAUAAAUAAGAGAAUGAAUAUCCAGAAACACUACAAGGAUGAAAGUAAAGAAAUUAACUAAAAUUACCUCCUUGUUUUUAUCUCCAGCAACAACAGAACCUUUUGAGUCAUAUGCUUCAAAUUUCUGCAAGUAAUAUAACAUCAAUUCACUGUCCUAAGUUUUUGAAGUCCCAGUACUCAUGAAACCACAGGUGGAAAUUUUAAUGUGUAAAGCAUACUUGU